Molecule: ribosomal RNA, 773 nt
Filed under: uncultured bacterium
Lineage: Bacteria
Description: bacterial SSU rRNA
Rfam family: Bacterial small subunit ribosomal RNA
Source: RNAcentral
AGAGUUUGAUCAUGGCUCAGGACGAACGCUGGCGGCGUGCUUAACACAUGCAAGUCGAACGGAAAGGCCCUUCGGGGUACUCGAGUGGCGAACGGGUGAGUAACACGUGGGUGAUCUGCCCUGCACUCUGGGAUAAGCCUGGGAAACUGGGUCUAAUACCGGAUAGGACCGCAUGCUUCAUGGUGUGUGGUGCAAAGCUUUUGCGGUGUGGGAUGAGCCCGCGGCCUAUCAGCUUGUUGGUGGGGUAAUGGCCUACCAAGGCGACGACGGGUAGCCGGCCUGAGAGGGUGACCGGCCACACUGGGACUGAGAUACGGCCCAGACUCCUACGGGAGGCAGCAGUGGGGAAUAUUGCACAAUGGGCGCAAGCCUGAUGCAGCGACGCCGCGUGAGGGAUGACGGCCUUCGGGUUGUAAACCUCUUUCAGUAGGGACGAAGCGAAAGUGACGGUACCUACAGAAGAAGGACCGGCCAACUACGUGCCAGCAGCCGCGGUAAUACGUAGGGUCCGAGCGUUGUCCAGAAUUACUGGGCGUAAAGAGCUCGUAGGUGGUUUGUCGCGUUGUUCGUGAAAACUCACAGCUUAACUGUGGGCGUGCGGGCGAUACGGGCAGACUAGAGUACUGCAGGGGAGACUGGAAUUCCUGGUGUAGCGGUGGAAUGCGCAGAUAUCAGGAGGAACACCGGUGGCGAAGGCGGGUCUCUGGGCAGUAACUGACGCUGAGGAGCGAAAGCGUGGGUAGCGAACAGGAUUAGAUACCCCGGUAGUCCAA